GAUGAACUCUGGCGGCGUGCCUAAUACAUGCAAGUCGAGCGAACGGACGAGAAGCUUGCCUCUCUGAUGUUAGCGGCGGACGGGUGAGUAACACGUGGAUAACCUACCUAUAAGACUGGGAUAACUUCGGGAAACCGUAGCUAAUACCGGAUAAUAUUUUGAACCGCAUGGUUCAAAAGUGAAAGACGGUCUUGCUGUCACUUAUAGAUGGAUCCGCGCUGCAUUAGCUAGUUGGUAAGGUAACGGCUUACCAAGGCAACGAUGCAUAGCCGACCUGAGAGGGUGAUCGGCCACACUGGAACUGAGACACGGUCCAGACUCCUACGGGAGGCAGCAGUAGGGAAUCUUCCGCAAUGGGCGAAAGCCUGACGGAGCAACGCCGCGUGAGUGAUGAAGGUCUUCGGAUCGUAAAACUCUGUUAUUAGGGAAGAACAUAUGUGUAAGUAACUGUGCACAUCUUGACGGUACCUAAUCAGAAAGCCACGGCUAACUACGUG
Molecule: ribosomal RNA, 497 nt
Filed under: uncultured bacterium
Lineage: Bacteria
Description: partial 16S ribosomal RNA
Rfam family: Bacterial small subunit ribosomal RNA
Source: RNAcentral